CCUACGGGAGGCAGCAGUGAGGAAUAUUGGUCAAUGGACGAGAGUCUGAACCAGCCAAGUAGCGUGAAGGAUGACUGCCCUAUGGGUUGUAAACUUCUUUUAUAUGGGAAUAAAACGUUCCACGUGUUAGAUUUUGUAUGUACCCUAUGAAUAAGCAUCGGCUAACUCCGUGCCAGCAGCCGCGGUAAUACGGAGGAUCCGAGCGUUAUCCGGAUUUAUUGGGUUUAAAGGGAGCGUAGGUGGAUUGUUAAGUCAGUUGUGAAAGUUUGCGGCUCAACCGUAAAAUUGCAGAUGAUACUGGCAGUCUUGAGUACAGUAGAGGUGGGCGGAAUUAGUGGUGUAGCGGUGAAAUGCGUAGAUAUCACUAAGAACUCCGAUGGCGAAGGCAGUUCACUGGACUGGAACUGACACUGAGGCUCGAAAGUGUGGGUAUCAAACAGGAUUAGAUACCCUAGUAGUC
RNAcentral lists this ribosomal RNA (460 nucleotides) under uncultured bacterium. RNAcentral's name for it is "partial 16S ribosomal RNA". It matches the Rfam family "Bacterial small subunit ribosomal RNA", at positions 338 to 795 of the family's 1533-position model. The record is from RNAcentral.